AAGUCGUAACAAGGUUUCCGUAGGUGAACCUGCGGAAGGAUCAUUACCGAGUUGAUUCGGGCUCCGUCCCGAUCCUCCCACCCUUUGUAUACCUACCUCUGUUGCUUUGGCGGGCCGCGGUCUUCCGCGGCCGCCCCCCGAUUUUGGGGGGUGGCUAGUGCCCGCCAGAGGACUAUCAAACUCCAGUCAGGAAACGUUGCAGUCUGAAAAAAAAUAUUAAAUAAACUAAAACUUUCAACAACGGAUCUCUUGGUUCUG
Molecule: unclassified non-coding RNA, 258 nt
Filed under: Macrophomina phaseolina
Lineage: Eukaryota; Fungi; Ascomycota; Dothideomycetes; Botryosphaeriales; Botryosphaeriaceae
Description: partial internal transcribed spacer region
Rfam family: Eukaryotic small subunit ribosomal RNA (bases 1-46)
Source: RNAcentral